AAAUAAUUAUCUAAACAUAAAAACCUAAAAAUAAAAACAUAAAAACUAUAAAUAAAAUAGCAUGCAAUAAUAUCAGACAGUAACUAGCAUAAGACAAAUUCCAAUACACAAAUCAUCUAUGAAUAGCCCUGUCAAGCCUCACCCAACCCCGGGUGAGGAGUAUGAAGAACUCUAGGGGGCCCUAUCCCACAACCCUUAUACUAGAC
RNAcentral lists this long non-coding RNA (206 nucleotides) under Nicotiana benthamiana. RNAcentral describes it as "long non-coding RNA (NBEN_LNC021820)". Lineage: Eukaryota; Viridiplantae; Streptophyta; Magnoliopsida; Solanales; Solanaceae. The record is from RNAcentral.